Molecule: long non-coding RNA, 589 nt
Filed under: Homo sapiens (human)
Lineage: Eukaryota; Metazoa; Chordata; Mammalia; Primates; Hominidae
Description: HSALNT0326408
Source: RNAcentral
GGAGAUGCUGCCACCUAGGUUACUUGUAGGACCCUAUACGGCAACCUCCUUUGCCAGGAACUAUUUAUAAACAUCCUGCAGGAAAAUGAGUCAAGGAAGCUUUUCUUUUGAGCUAUUUACAGCUUUUAGCAAUUGAGUAAAGUAUACUCCUGUGAACAAAAUUUGGAACAUAUUUGUUUCUCUCUAACUGAUUUCUCCAGAAUUUGGAACUAGUUAACCAGGAACCCUCUCUUGGGGUGUGGAUCGAGACCCCUUUCUGGUAACGAGAGCACAGCUUGGUUUUAUACAUUUUAAGGAGACAUGAGACAUCAAUCAACGUAUAUAAGAUGAACAUUUUGAUCUGAAAAGGCCUCUUUAAAUAUACACUUCUCUGUAGUGUAUGCUAGAAAUGGAGUGGCUGGAAUAAAAGUGGCUGAAUCAUCUUCAACUCUAGUAGCUGAGACCAAUGAUGCUGACCUCCCUCAAAAGCUGCAUUUCUGAAUUUCUGAAGGCAAACUGUCUGCCUAUAUUGUACAGCAAAAUAAUUUCCUGUAUUAAAACGUUUUUAUUGCUCUAAAUUUCUAGAUUAAACUCUGCUUAGGUAUUGCUA